CGAGGGGAGUGAAAAAGAACCUGAAACCGUGUACGUACAAGCAGUGGGAGCCCCACCACUAAGCCAGUGGUGAACUCCACAUACGCAUCCUUUGCUGAGGAUACGGUUAACGGAGCGAAAGCGAUGUUCAACCGCAAAAGAAGCAGAGGGGGCUUAGUGGUGGGGUGACUGCGUACCUUUUGUAUAAUGGGUCAGCGACUUAUAUUCUGUAGCAAGGUUAACCGAAUAGGGGAGCCGGAGGGAAACCGAGUCUUAAUUGGGCGUUAAGUUGCAGGGUAUAGACCCGAAACCCGGUGAUCUAGCCAUGGGCAGGUUGAAGGUUGGGUAACACUAACUGGAGGACCGAACCGACUAAUGUUGAAAAAUUAGCGGAUGACCUGUGGCUGGGGGUGAAAGGCCAAUCAAACCGGGAGAUAGCUGGUUCUCCCCGAAAGCUAUUUAGGUAGCGCCUCGUGAAUUCAUCUCCGGGGGUAGAGCACUGUUUCGGCUAGGGGGCCAUCCCGGCUUACCAACCCGAUGCAAACUGCGAAUACCGGAGAAUGUUAUCACGGGAGACACACGGCGGGUGCUAACGUCCGUCGUGAAGAGGGAAACAACCCAGACCGCCAGCUAAGGUCCCAAAGUCAUGGUUAAGUGGGAAACGAUGUGGGAAGGCCCAGACAGCCAGGAUGUUGGCUUAGAAGCAGCCAUCAUUUAAAGAAAGCGUAAUAGCUCACUGGUCGAGUCGGCCUGCGCGGAAGAUGUAACGGGGCUAAACCAUGCACCGAAGCUGCGGCAGCGAACGUAUCACCCAAGACAACUUUACGGAGUUAACGAUUGACGGAGCGAAGCGACGUCAAAGCGUUCAUUAAAGUCGAGUUGGCUUAGGGAUACGUUCGUUGGGUAGGGGAGCGUUCUGUAAGCCUGUGAAGGUGGCCUGUGAGGGUUGCUGGAGGUAUCAGAAGUGCGAAUGCUGACAUAAGUAACGAUAAAGCGGGUGAAAAGCCCGCUCGCCGGAAGACCAAGGGUUCCUGUCCAACGUUAAUCGGGGCAGGGUGAGUCGACCCCUAAGGCGAGGCCGAAAGGCGUAGUCGAUGGGAAACGGGUUAAUAUUCCCGUACUUGGUGUUACUGCGAAGGGGGGACGGAGAAGGCUAUGUUGGCCGGGCGACGGUUGUCCCGGUUUAAGCGUGUAGGUGUGUGUUCCAGGUAAAUCCGGUUCACUUUAACACUGAGGCGUGAUGACGAGGCACUACGGUGCUGAAGCAACAAAUGCCCUGCUUCCAGGAAAAGCCUCUAAGCAUCAGGUAACAUCAAAUCGUACCCCAAACCGACACAGGUGGUCAGGUAGAGAAUACCAAGGCGCUUGAGAGAACUCGGGUGAAGGAACUAGGCAAAAUGGUGCCGUAACUUCGGGAGAAGGCACGCUGACACGUAGGUGAAGUGAUUUACUCAUGGAGCUGAAGUCAGUCGAAGAUACCAGCUGGCUGCAACUGUUUAUUAAAAACACAGCACUGUGCAAACACGAAAGUGGACGUAUACGGUGUGACGCCUGCCCGGUGCCGGAAGGUUAAUUGAUGGGGUCAGCGCAAGCGAAGCUCCUGAUCGAAGCCCCGGUAAACGGCGGCCGUAACUAUAACGGUCCUAAGGUAGCGAAAUUCCUUGUCGGGUAAGUUCCGACCUGCACGAAUGGCGUAAUGAUGGCCAGGCUGUCUCCACCCGAGACUCAGUGAAAUUGAACUCGCUGUGAAGAUGCAGUGUACCCGCGGCAAGACGGAAAGACCCCGUGAACCUUUACUAUAGCUUGACACUGAACAUUGAGCCUUGAUGUGUAGGAUAGGUGGGAGGCUUUGAAGUGUGGACGCCAGUCUGCAUGGAGCCGACCUUGAAAUACCACCCUUUAAUGUUUGAUGUUCUAACGUGGACCCGUAAUCCGGGUUGCGGACAGUGUCUGGUGGGUAGUUUGACUGGGGCGGUCUCCUCCUAAAGAGUAACGGAGGAGCACGAAGGUUGGCUAAUCCUGGUCGGACAUCAGGAGGUUAGUGCAAUGGCAUAAGCCAGCUUGACUGCGAGCGUGACGGCGCGAGCAGGUGCGAAAGCAGGUCAUAGUGAUCCGGUGGUUCUGAAUGGAAGGGCCAUCGCUCAACGGAUAAAAGGUACUCCGGGGAUAACAGGCUGAUACCGCCCAAGAGUUCAUAUCGACGGCGGUGUUUGGCACCUCGAUGUCGGCUCAUCACAUCCUGGGGCUGAAGUAGGUCCCAAGGGUAUGGCUGUUCGCCAUUUAAAGUGGUACGCGAGCUGGGUUUAGAACGUCGUGAGACAGUUCGGUCCCUAUCUGCCGUGGGCGCUGGAGAACUGAGGGGGGCUGCUCCUAGUACGAGAGGACCGGAGUGGACGCAUCACUGGUGUUCGGGUUGUCAUGCCAAUGGCACUGCCCGGUAGCUAAAUGCGGAAGAGAUAAGUGCUGAAAGCAUCUAAGCACGAAACUUGCCCCGA
Molecule: ribosomal RNA, 2474 nt
Filed under: Salmonella enterica
Lineage: Bacteria; Pseudomonadati; Pseudomonadota; Gammaproteobacteria; Enterobacterales; Enterobacteriaceae
Description: partial 23S ribosomal RNA
Rfam family: Bacterial large subunit ribosomal RNA
Source: RNAcentral